Danio rerio (zebrafish) is the source of this 117-nucleotide non-coding RNA. NCBI's taxonomy places the organism in Eukaryota, Metazoa, Chordata, Actinopteri, Cypriniformes, Danionidae. The record is from Rfam.
AGCCACAGCCAUAUCACCCUGCAGCCCAAGACCGGUUACUCACUGAAGCUAAGCAGGGCUGAAACUGGUCAGUACUUGGAUGGGAGACCACUAGGGAACACUAGGUUGCUGUUGGAA